This 406-nucleotide ribosomal RNA is filed under the name uncultured bacterium. Its description in RNAcentral is "partial 16S ribosomal RNA". It matches the Rfam family "Bacterial small subunit ribosomal RNA", at positions 30 to 526 of the family's 1533-position model. The record is from RNAcentral.
AUUGAACGCUGGCGGCAGGCUUUACACAUGCAAGUCGAACGAGUGGCGGCCGGGUGAGUAAUGUAUGGGAAACUGCCCAAUGGAGGGGGAUCACUACUGGAAAGGGAAGCUAAUACCGCAUAACAUUGGAGGUGCCCAGAUGGGAUUAGCUAGAAGGUGGGGUAAAGGCUAACCUAGGCGACGAUCCCUAGCUGGUCUGAGAGGAUGACCAGCCACACUGGAACUGAGACACGGCCCAGACUCCUACGGGAGGCAGCAGUGGGUAAUAUUGCACAAUGGGCGAUAGCCUGAUGCAGCCAUGCCGCGUGUAUGAAGAAGGCCUUCGGGUUGUAAAGUACUUUCAGCGGGGAAGCGUUACCAACAGAAUAAGCACCGGCUAACUUCGUGCCAGCAGCCGCGGUAAUAC